This is a long non-coding RNA of Pan troglodytes (chimpanzee), 2463 nucleotides long. RefSeq lists it as uncharacterized. The record is from RefSeq and is a predicted model, not a curated record. The transcript is spliced from 3 exons. NCBI's taxonomy places the organism in Eukaryota, Metazoa, Chordata, Mammalia, Primates, Hominidae.
AGUGUCUCCCUGGUGCAGCCUUGGAAGCGGCUGGACACCCACUCAUGGCCACAGAGGGCAGCUUCCGGGCGACGCUCCAACUCUGCCCCUCGGACUCCUCGCGGAUACAGGCGUGUGUUUGAAACUGAUCAAUGUCCCCCCGGUUCCUUUCACUGACACCAGAAAGCCCGCGAAUACACCUCACAGUCUCUGAAGUCUCACUCUGAUCUUGGCUCACUGCAACCUCUGCCUCCUGAGUUCAACUGAUUCUCCUGCCUCAGCCUCACCAGUAGCUGGGAUUACAGACGCUCAUCACCAUGCCCGGCUAAUUUUGUAUUUUUAAUAGAGACAGGGUUUUGCUAUGUUGGCCAGGCUGGUCUCGAACUCCUGACCUCAAGUGAUCCACCUGCCUCGACCUCUGGGAUUACAGAUGUGAGCCAUCGCACCUGUGCGUGAAGGUUUUCUAACCUUCUAUCAGAUUUUCUAACCUCCCUAAGCCACAGGAUGAGAAAAGUGUGCGAUGCUCCCGCCUGAGGAAGCCAGCCCAGCCAACGCAGAGCCAAGGACCACUGAAGGCAUCGCCACCGCUACACGCUUGGAGCCAUCCAUGCCUGCAGCCGCGUUGAAUGCCUUCUGCUUCUUUCCUAUGCCAGCUUGAACUGGGUUACUUUUGCUUACAAAUGAAGUCCUCUAACUCAGGAAAUUGGGACUCUAGGAUGCAGUCAUCAGGGACCCAGUCAAGAUUGCAAAUAUGGGGAUGGAGGUAAAUGAGGAAGUGAAUGACUUCAACAGAAAUCCCUCUCUAUAAACUCCUACUGCCGGUGAGUCCCUGCGGCUGACACAUGUCCUACCUAACGUGGAAAUCUCAGCCUCCAGCCCAGGGCAUGCGAGACAUCCAAACCUCACUCACUCAGCAUCUGUCUCCUGGACUAGCAGUCACAGUACAUCUGUCCCCGUCUACAUCCUAACAGGGAAGCCUUCCCCAAAACAAAUCCAAGUGUUCUUCUCUCUAUGAAGACUUUCAAUCAAAACCAGAUUCAUCUUCUGGAUGGAUACAUGUGCCUAGCCCACCAGCAUCUUCUCUGUGUCUACCUGACCCACAGCUAAUAUCCAGGCGACGCCCCACACCCACUCAGGGUCCUCCUCAUCACUGCCCAGUGCUGCCACUCACUGACCGACCUUCUCACAGAGCAGACCUCAUGCGGGGGAUGCUAACGGCAUCUACAGACAGUGGGGUUUGCUUCAGUGACCAUCGCUCAAGGAGGCAGGUGCUACCCAGGCACCAGCAGUGUGGCUGUGCCAUCAGUGGACAGGGCAUCCAUGCCAUGAACAGGGGGACUCACUGUGCUUUUAGACACUUCCGACUUUUUGACUGCGCAGUUUCUAAAUAAUUGCCUUUUCCUUUGUGUGAGGUGGCACCCCCCCGUUGCCUGUUUCUCAUUCAAAAUAAAGGCAAGUAUACUUGAGAAGGGUGGAAGGGGAAAAGAGAAAAGAAGACAAUGUCUCCAGCUCCAAAAUGUAAACUACUAUAUUUAUCUUUUAAAGAAAGUUCAAGUUCCAAGAUCUGUAAAUGAUGUGGGCUUUUAUGAUGGUAAUUGUCUUGUUUUUCCAGCAUGAGCAGUCACAUGAUUCUUAACCCCACAGUUAAGGGGCGGACGGACACUCACGCGCGCAUGCAUAUAUGGAGAUGGUAUGGAUUUUCUGAAAAUGAAGAAAAAAUGCUAAAAGUCAUGAAAGAAAGGGCUUCCACUGGCUCUGCAUCCUUAAGUGACGAUUGAUUGAGAAGUCAGCCUCUUGUUUUCUAUGCCCACAUCCCUGCAAGCUGAAAGUCAGAAAAACUCUGCAGAGAAUCCCAUUGAAUAAGCUUCUUCCUGGCCAUUGCUGGCCUUGCUUGGGGGCUGAGCCAUGGCUGCCUCUGGAUGUACCAUCAGCCUGGGUGAUAAAAGGGCCAGGCACCUGGGGACGCCGCUCAUCCUGGGCAAUGGAGAGCUGCAAACAUGGUUCAUUCUGGAAACAUUCUUUGUCCUGAGCAGCAGGGCUUCUCUGCAUUCACCUGCUGAAAACUGGAUUCUUCUCCUGCAGCCAAACACACUGUGUGCUCCACGUGCUCAUGUGUGCAUGCCUGUCCAUCAUCACCUUGUCUUGAUUGUGAAUCCUGCCUUUUGGUUUGUAAGAAAACCAAAUUAAUUCUCAGGCACAGAUCAUAUCUAACUCCCCUCCCCUCACCUCUCCUCUCCUCCCCUCUCCUCCCCUCUCCUAUCCUUCCCUUUCCAUUUCUUUCCCCUUUCCUGUUCUUUCCUCUCCUUUCCUUCAGUGUCUUGCUCUGUCACCCAGACUGGAGUGCAGUGGCACGAUCUUGGCUCACUGCAACCUCUGCCUCCUGGGUUCAAGUGAUUAUUGUGGCUCAGCCUCCUGAGUAGCUGGGACUACAGAAGUUCACUACCAUGCCUGGCCUAGCUCAGUGUUUUUGAUGAAUUAAGAUCU